GGUCAAGUUAUUAAGGGUGCAGGGCGGAUGCCUUGGCACUAGGAGCCGAUGAAGGACGUGAUAAGCUGCGAUAAGCUUCGGGGAGUUGCACGUAAACUUUGAUCCGAAGAUUUCCGAAUGAGGAAACUCACUUAGAGUAAUGUCUAAGUAUCAUUAAGUGAAUACAUAGCUUAAUGAGGGGAACUCAGGGAACUGAAACAUCUAAGUACCUGAAGGAAGAGAAAGAAAUUCGAUUCCGUAAGUAGCGGCGAGCGAACGCGGAUUAGCCCAAACCAAUAAAGUUUUCUUUAUUGGGGUUGCGGACAUAUCAUAACGAAGAGGUAUCGUAAUUGAAGAGGUUUGGAAAGACCCACCACAGAAGGUAAUAGUCCUGUAUGUUAAACGAGAAGACUUUAGAUAUGAUCCAGAGUACCACGGGACAC
RNAcentral lists this ribosomal RNA (422 nucleotides) under Clostridioides difficile. RNAcentral's name for it is "partial 23S ribosomal RNA". It matches the Rfam family "Bacterial large subunit ribosomal RNA", at positions 1 to 425 of the family's 2925-position model. The record is from RNAcentral. Lineage: Bacteria; Bacillati; Bacillota; Clostridia; Peptostreptococcales; Peptostreptococcaceae.